UUGUCAAUUAUGAUUCAUUUAUGUGUGCAUCUCAGAUAUUGUAAAUACAGCUGCCUCCAGUUGUUAUAAAUACAGGUCCUCUGCUAAGAAGACCCUGUUGCUCAGAGAGGCAUCCUUCUAAAUGGGGAAGCAACAUCUAACUCGACCAAGACAUGGCUGCUUGGACUCGCCUCAUCACUGCUGUUGUGAUCAUGGGCAGCAUUACAGCAGGUUUUGAGGACUCCCUGCAAAGGAUGCGGAGGGAUGACAGCGAUGAAGUCGGACAUCGUCCUGCUGGACAGUU
This is a non-coding RNA of Pogona vitticeps (central bearded dragon), 283 nucleotides long. The record is from RefSeq and is a predicted model, not a curated record. Lineage: Eukaryota; Metazoa; Chordata; Lepidosauria; Squamata; Agamidae.